ACGCUCGACACCUACGGGAGACAGCGGUUGGGAAUAUUGGACAAUGGAGGGAACUCUGAUCCAGUGACGCCGCGUGAAGGAAGAAGGUCUUCGGAUUGUAAACUUAUUUUAUCAGGGAAGAAAGAAAUGACAGUACCUGAAGAAGAAGGACCGGCUAACUACGUGCCAACAGCCGCGGUAAUCUGAGCGGGCUGGCAAGGC
RNAcentral lists this ribosomal RNA (201 nucleotides) under uncultured bacterium. RNAcentral's name for it is "partial 16S ribosomal RNA". It matches the Rfam family "Bacterial small subunit ribosomal RNA", at positions 328 to 537 of the family's 1533-position model. The record is from RNAcentral.